AAUUAACGCUGGCAGAGUGCAUAACACAUGCAAGUCGAGCGGGGACCGUAGCAAUACGGUUCCAGCGGCAGACGAGUGAGUAACACGUGGACAAUCUGCCCUUCAAUGGUGAAUAACCAGCCGAAAGGUUGGCGAAUACACCGUACACUCUUCUGGGGGCAUCCCCCGGGGGAAGAGAGGCCCGCAAGGGUCGUUGAAGGAGGAGUCCGCGGCCCAUCAGCUAGUUGGCGGUGUAAUAGACCACCAAGGCUACGACGGGUACCCGGCCUGAAAGGGCGGACGGGCACGAUGGCACUGAGACACGGGCCAUACUCCUACGGGAGGCAGCAGUGGGGAACUUUGGACAAUGGGCGAAAGCCUGAUCCAGCAACUCUGCGUGAGGGACGAAGGUCUUCGGAUCGUAAACCUCUUUUGCUAGGGGCGAACACCCGCAAGGGUUUGACGGUACCUAGCGAAUAAGCCACGGCUAACUAUGUGCCAGCAGCCGCGGUAAGACAUAGGUGGCAAGCGUUAUUAC
RNAcentral lists this ribosomal RNA (517 nucleotides) under uncultured bacterium. RNAcentral's name for it is "bacterial SSU rRNA". It matches the Rfam family "Bacterial small subunit ribosomal RNA", at positions 28 to 545 of the family's 1533-position model. The record is from RNAcentral.